This 1435-nucleotide long non-coding RNA is filed under the name Sarcophilus harrisii (Tasmanian devil). RNAcentral describes it as "lncRNA (ENSSHAG00000022154.1)". Lineage: Eukaryota; Metazoa; Chordata; Mammalia; Dasyuromorphia; Dasyuridae. The record is from RNAcentral.
UUUCAUUGAGAGAAAUCAUAAUCUUCAAGCUGGAAGGAUCCCCAGAGAUGGAGAGUUCUUCUUUGACAGUCUUCUUGUAUCAGAGUGUUGGAGAAACUAGGAAAGAGCUAGCAGCUGAGAGAGAAAUAAGAUGCCUUGUGAAACCUAAAGAGGGUGUAUGACUACCAUCUUGGAAAGUAUUUAUGCUCCUAAAAGGAGAAUAAAUAUGGGAGCUGGGUCUUCAGUAUCACAGUUGAAGUAACAGAUUUGUCAAAGAUGUUCUCACAUUUACCUGCUUUCCUGGCCAUCAUCAAAACCAGCUGCUGACCUGUUGCCAUGGCGUGGCAAGCCAGCUCCAGAACUCAGGACCAACCAGCAGGCAAGUCAGUUUCACUGAAUCGGCAGGGCACCCUGAAGAGGAGAUGGGAGAGCUCAGGUGCUGAGCAAGGCAAACUAGUGUCAGCACUUCAAUAACUACUUCCCUUCAGACAGAUGUGGCCAUGAUUCUAAGCCUAAGAGGACCCUUGGCCCUGACUGCAGUCAUUCCAUCAUCCAGGGAAUCAGCCUUGUGGAAAGUGGACCUAACCCCUGUUUGGACAACCCCUGACUUUGCAGCCAAAGCUACUGUGCACCUGGAGAAAAUGGGGCUUAUUGCCCAAGGUCUGUGCAUUGUCAGGUGAUUCAGUGUUGAAAUAGAUACAAUUUUAACACUGGAAAAUAACAUAAAACAGGAUGUGUUACCAUCUCCUUGCCACUGCACCUUAAAGACCUUGGGCUUGGACCAUCUGAAACCUGCUGUUUCUUUUCCCCUUACUAGAAUGUGAACUAUUUGAAUGCAGAAAUUUCUGUAAACAAUACUUGGCAAUGUGUUUUAUGCAUAGUAAUCAUUUAAUAAGUGAUUCACUCAUUCAUGGUCAGACACUUACCUUUUGCCCCAGCAAUGUUAAAGAGCACAGGAAAAAAAAAAUCGAGAGAUAUCAGACAGGAGUCCUUUGUAAACUUCUGGCCAACUGGACCUAAUCAUAAUGACCUAAUUGCCUCACUGCUUAGUGGAGAUUGUGCUGCACUUUUCCAGAAGAAGCUGACUUGUGAGUUGGCAAAAGAAAAACUUGACUCCCUCCAAUCUACGCUUCAGGGAGAAUUCUUCAGAUUAUAAACUUUGUGAUUUCUGUUCAGGAACAUGGACAUACACAGAAAGAAAAGACUAACUCAGAAACAAGUUAAAAACUGACAAAUUCUUUUUGGUUUCCUUGAAAGUAACUAGGCUAGAGAGCUGCUUUUGCUUUUUUGGAUUUUCUAUCCAGCUGCAAUAAUCACAAUUAAAAGAGAAAAGGAAAAACAUCACUAUUCAUUUGUUAACUGUAAAAAUGCAAUUCCAGCAGUAAUUGCAAUGGUUUGCAAUUUCCCCAGGUCAAUAAAUAGCUCCCAUAACUUUAAUAAACAUUGAUGCUCUGGG